UACGUAGGGGGCAAGCGUUGUCCGGAUUUAUUGGGCGUAAAGAGCGUGUAGGCGGCCAGAAAAGUCCGCUGUGAAAACUCGAGGCUCAACUUCGAGCUGUCGGUGGAAACUUUCUGGCUAGAGUCCGGAAGAGGAGAAUGGAAUUCCUGGUGUAGCGGUGAAAUGCGCAGAUAUCAGGAAGAACACCCGUGGCGAAGGCGGUUCUCUGGGACGGUACUGACGC
RNAcentral lists this ribosomal RNA (223 nucleotides) under uncultured bacterium. RNAcentral describes it as "partial 16S ribosomal RNA". It matches the Rfam family "Bacterial small subunit ribosomal RNA", at positions 524 to 746 of the family's 1533-position model. The record is from RNAcentral.